RNAcentral lists this long non-coding RNA (312 nucleotides) under Cucumis sativus (cucumber). RNAcentral's name for it is "long non-coding RNA (CSAT_LNC000504)". Lineage: Eukaryota; Viridiplantae; Streptophyta; Magnoliopsida; Cucurbitales; Cucurbitaceae. The record is from RNAcentral.
GUACACGCUUCUCAACUUUUGCAAAGUCCAUUUGUUUGCUUUCAUCUACCUUUGCCUCAUCAACCUUCAAAUCAUCUUCAUCUUCAUCUUCAGCACUAACUUCAUCAUCUUCAUUCUGCUUGGUAUUUUUCUCUUCCAAUUUCUUAAGUUGUUGCUCUUUCAAAAAUUUUCUCCUUGCUUCAUCUCUAGCCUCAUACCUCUCAAUGACACGAGCAUAGGUUGCUGGAUCAUAACCAUUCCAACGAUCCCUUUUUCCAUCAUAAUCAAGUUCAAACGUCUCUAUCUUUUCAUCGGGUGCUAUGUGCAUGUUUG